Molecule: transfer RNA, 71 nt
Filed under: Barilius bendelisis (Hamilton's barila)
Lineage: Eukaryota; Metazoa; Chordata; Actinopteri; Cypriniformes; Danionidae
Description: tRNA-Ile
Source: RNAcentral
GGAACCGUGCCCGAAUAUUAGGGGCCACUUUGAUAGAGUGAAAUAUAGGGGUUUGAACCCCCUCGGUUCUU